ACUUUUUGAGAACUUCGCAUGACGACGAUUCCGUAGAUUUACUUUUUCCAGUGAAAGCUUCAUCUGUUGAUAUUUACUGUGAACGUUUUGUGUAUAUUUAAAUAUAUUCAGCUAUGUUAAAAGACAUGUGUAAUGUCAAAUCAUAAAAAUACUAAGUGUUUAUUCUUAAAGAAAACUUGUAAGAUUUCCACAGCUGUUUUUGUUGAAUAUGUGCAAUUUGUGUACUCAGUGCAAUUUGGGUACUGUUACGUUAUAUCUGUUCUCUACAGAGCUAAGUAUUUAGUGACAAUCUAUUUUCGUAUUGGAUAAUGUAUCUGGUCUAAAAAAAAAUAGUUUGCCACAAGUAUUUAGUGACAAUUAUCUAUUCCUGUAUUAGAUGAUGUAUCUGGUGUGAUUUUUUUAUUAUUUUACCACUGAAUGAAUCACCAAUCAAACUAUAUAAAUAGAUUGAAGUUAAAAAAAAUAUCUGGAAAAUUAACUGAAUCCCAAGACAGAAUGAAUAAUAUAAUUAUAACUUUUUUGUUAUGCCCAACUGCUAGUCGAAGGGGCAUUAACUUUUACUGUUGUCAUGAUGUCCAUCCAUUUAUAUGUCUGUCUGUACAGAAAUUGGUUUCCAUUUUCUUACUUUAUUUGCACUCAAUUAUUUUUUUCACAGAACACAGAUCAAUUUAUUCGAAUUUGAGUGGCAUCACUUUGACCGUUCGUGAGUUAUGCCCCUUUAUUAACGCAAAAAUUGCUGAAUCUUUCUUUUCUUGUCUCUAACUUUAGUUUGUCCCAACAAAUGUUAUAAAACUUAUACACUACUUAUUACCACAAAACACAGAUCAAGUUUGAAUUUGACUCCCGUCACUGUAACCGUUCUUGAGUUACAUGUAUUUAUGCUCCUUUAUUAUUAAAUGGAAAAAAUUGCCAAAUCUGUGGUGGAUCCGACAAACUGUUGUAUACCUAUUUUAUUUAUUUAGAUAUGAUUUACAAACUUCAGAAAAGGUUGAGAAGCAUUUUAAUUCUAGGGAAUUCCAACCUGAAGCAAGUUGUACCAAUGGAAUUGAUGGAAGCCCCCAUUAGAACACUGUGCAUAACUGGGGUUGCAACUUCACCAUCUCAUACAGCAUCUAGUUCAUCAAAGAUGACCUAUGCUGAAGUGGUGAGACUUCCUGUGCAUGCAACAGGUCAGACCAAACUAAAACCACGUUUGAUAUUAAGUGUAUGGAAAUGAAGAAAUCAAUUGGAGUCCCUACAUUUAAAAGGAGGAGUGUGUCUUCAGUUGAGAUUGGUAGAAAAAAAGAAAAAACAAUACAGGGUAAAGACAAGUGAUCUAGUAUUUGGGGUCACAGAGGAUGUGGCUGUAGUCCUACCAAACAAAGCUUUACUGGAACAUAGUUUUUAUCAGACUCACAUAAAAAAGCAACUGCUUGAACCCAUAUCAAUGCAGCCUACGAAGAAAAUGUCUGUGAUGAAGAAAGAAGAAAAGGCAGAAUUCAGACAGACAGAGAUUCGUCAUUUCAGAUACCAAAUAAAGAAAAUGCUGUUGAGGAACAGGGGAGUUUCUGU
Molecule: long non-coding RNA, 1551 nt
Organism: Mytilus californianus (California mussel)
Lineage: Eukaryota; Metazoa; Mollusca; Bivalvia; Mytilida; Mytilidae
Exons: 6
Source: RefSeq, a predicted model, not a curated record